CCCUGCCAUUUGUACACACCGCCCGUCGCUGCUACCGAUUGGAUGAUCCGGUGAAAUUUUCGGACUGUCGCGUGUUGUGCCGUUCGCGGCGCUCUCGCGAUGGGAAGUUACUUGAACCUUAUUAUCUAGAGGAA
This 134-nucleotide ribosomal RNA is filed under the name uncultured eukaryote. RNAcentral describes it as "partial small subunit ribosomal RNA". It matches the Rfam family "Eukaryotic small subunit ribosomal RNA", at positions 1651 to 1781 of the family's 1831-position model. The record is from RNAcentral.